RNAcentral lists this ribosomal RNA (678 nucleotides) under Triticum aestivum (bread wheat). RNAcentral's name for it is "partial small subunit ribosomal RNA". The record is from RNAcentral. Lineage: Eukaryota; Viridiplantae; Streptophyta; Magnoliopsida; Poales; Poaceae.
AUGCAGGAUCGGGGUAUGGAGCAAACGGAAGAGGCGGUGAGCGCGAGCCCGGCGCGGAUGCUUACCGCCGCCGCCGAGCAGCAGGGCGACGCGGCGACGUGGCUCAACCUCACGCUGGGCGUGAACUGCUCACAGCCGGCGGAGGAGGACUCCUCGUCGUACUCGGACGAAGAGCCGGCGGCCAAGCACAAGCAGGAGCACCCGCCGACGCCUCCUCCGGCUGCCGCGGCAGCGCCGACGCCGCCCCACAAGGUGUUCUCGUGCAACUUCUGCAUGAGGAAGUUCUUCAGCUCGCAGGCGCUGGGCGGACACCAGAACGCGCACAAGCGGGAGCGCAGCGCGGCCAAGCGCUCGUCGUCGCUGUCCUACCACCACGCGCACCACCAGCGGAUGGUCAUGGCCGGCCUGCCGCUCGAGGCGCACGCCGCGAUCGUGCGCGUCCUCAGGGUCAACCCGGCGAGCUCGGCGAUCAACAAGCCGGCCCGGCAAGAGGCCACGGCGCCGAGGCUCCACGAUGGCGUGGUUGGCCCGUGGCCGCCGCUCGUCUACGAGGAGGUGCUCGGCUCCACGUCGUGGCCGGGGAGCUUCAGAAUGAGGACGCAGACGGAGCCACCUACCUCGGAACAGCAGCUGCUGCCAGAGCAAACUAAGAAGAUGGAUUUGAGCCUUAGGCUGUGA